GGAUGUGAGGGCUAUCUGGCUGCGACAUUGGUCACCCUAUUGAUCGCCAGGGUUGAUUUGGCUGAUCUGGCUGGUUAGGCGAGUGCCCCCUUCAUCCCUCACCGCUCCAUGUGCGAUCCUCCCGAAGCUCCGCGCUCAGUCAAAGAGGACGACCUUCCCGGAUAGAGGCGGACCGUUCUUUAGUCAAGGGUAUAUGAGUAGCUGCGCUCUCUUGCUAGAACAAGCUCCCAAGGUCCAUAGCUUUGAAAUUUGCUUAUGAUAGUUUGGGGUGAGUUAAAUUUUGAACUUCUCUUUGUUGAAGUUUUCUGGAUUUU
RNAcentral lists this small nuclear RNA (314 nucleotides) under Sarcophilus harrisii (Tasmanian devil). RNAcentral describes it as "7SK RNA". It matches the Rfam family "7SK RNA". Rfam says of the family: 7SK was discovered as an abundant small nuclear RNA in the mid-70s but a possible function has only recently been suggested. Two independent studies have found that 7SK RNA binds the CDK9/cyclin T complex (known as elongation factor P-TEFb). P-TEFb activates transcription by phosphorylating the C-terminal domain of RNA polymerase II. Lineage: Eukaryota; Metazoa; Chordata; Mammalia; Dasyuromorphia; Dasyuridae. The record is from Rfam by way of RNAcentral.